Molecule: ribosomal RNA, 253 nt
Filed under: uncultured bacterium
Lineage: Bacteria
Description: partial 16S ribosomal RNA
Rfam family: Bacterial small subunit ribosomal RNA
Source: RNAcentral
UACGGAGGGUGCAAGCGUUAUCCGGAUUCACUGGGUUUAAAGGGUGCGUAGGUGGGUAGGUAAGUCAGUGGUGAAAUCUCCGGGCUUAACUCGGAAACUGCCGUUGAUACUAUCUGUCUUGAAUAUCGUGGAGGUUAGCGGAAUAUGUCAUGUAGCGGUGAAAUGCUUAGAUAUGACAUAGAACACCCAUUGCGAAGGCAGCUAACUACACGAUCAUUGACACUGAGGCACGAAAGCGUGGGGAGCAAACAGG